AUGAACGCUAGCGACAGGCCUAACACAUGCAAGUCGAGGGGCAGCACAAGGAGCAAUCUGAGGUGGCGACCGGCGCACGGGUGAGUAACACGUAUGCAACCUGCCUGUAAGCGGGGAAUAACCCGUUGAAAGACGGACUAAUACCGCAUAAUACUAAAUUACUGCAUGGUAAUUUAUUUAAACAUUUAUGGCUUACAGAUGGGCAUGCGCAUGAUUAGCUAGUUGGAGAGGUAACGGCUCCCCAAGGCAACGAUCAUUAGGGGUUCUGAGAGGAAGGUCCCCCACACUGGUACUGAGACACGGACCAGACUCCUACGGGAGGCAGCAGUGAGGAAUAUUGGUCAAUGGACGAGAGUCUGAACCAGCCAAGUCGCGUGCAGGAAGAAUGUCCCUAUGGAUUGUAAACUGCUUUUGCGGGGGAAUAAAGUGCAUCACGUGUGAUGUUUUGUAUGUACUCUGCGAAUAAGGAUCGGCUAACUCCGUGCCAGCAGCCGC
RNAcentral lists this ribosomal RNA (495 nucleotides) under uncultured bacterium. RNAcentral's name for it is "bacterial SSU rRNA". It matches the Rfam family "Bacterial small subunit ribosomal RNA", at positions 29 to 518 of the family's 1533-position model. The record is from RNAcentral.